AGACCAUAGAACCAGGAGGAUAGGAAGAGAGGAGGAGUAUAGGAGGAGGAGGGUUAGGAAGAGAGGAGGAGUAUAGGAAGAGAGGUGGAGUAUAGGAGGAGGAGGAGGGUUAGGAAGAGAGGAGGAGUAUAGGAAGAGAGGUGGAGUAUAGGAGGAGGAGGAGGUUUAGGAAGAGAGGAGGAGGAGGAUAGGAAGAGAGGAGGAGUAUAGGAAGAGAGGUGGAGUAUAGGAGGAGGAGGAGGGUUAGGAAGAGAGGAGGAGUAUAGGAAGAGAGGUGGAGUAUAGGAAGAGGAGGAGGGUUAGGAAGAGAGGAGGAGGAGGAUAGGAAGAGAGGAGGAGUAUAGGAGGAGGAGGGUUAGGAAGAGAGGAGGAGGAUAGGAAGAGAGGAGGAGGAUAGGAAGAGAGGAGGAGGAGGAUAGGAAGAGAGGUGGAAGAGGAUAGGAAGAGAGGAGGAGUAUAGGAGGAGGAGGGUUAGGAAGAGAGGGGGAGGAGGAUAGGAAGAGAGGAGGAGGAGGAUAGGAAGAGAGGUGGAAGAGGAUAGGAAGAGAGGAGGAGUAUAGGAGGAGGAGGGAUAGGAAGAGAGGAGGAGGAGGGUUAGGAAGAGAGGAGGAGGAGGAUAGGAAGAGAGGUGGAAGAGGAUAGGAAGAGAGGAGGAGUAUAGGAGGAGGAGGGUUAGGAAGAGAGGAGGAGGAGGGUUAGGAAGAGAGGGGGAGGAGGAUAGGAAGAGAGGAGGAGGAGGAUAGGAAGAGAGGAGGAGUAUAGGAGGAGGAGGGUUAGGAAGAGAGGAGGAGGAGGAUAGGAAGAGAGGAGGAGGAGGAGGGUUAGGAAGAGAGGAGGAGGAGGAUAGGAAGAGAGGUGGAAGAGGAUAGGAAGAGAGGAGGAGUAUAGGAGGAGGAGGGUUAGGAAGAGAGGAGGAGGAGGAUAGGAAGAGAGGAGGAGGAGGAGGGUUAGGAAGAGAGGAGGAGGAGGAUAGGAAGAGAGGUGGAAGAGGAUAGGAAGAGAGGAGGAGUAUAGGAGGAGGAGGGUUAGGAAGAGAGGAGUAGUAUAGGAAGAGAGGAGGAAGAGGAUAGGAAGAGAGGAGGAGUAUAGGAGGAGGAGGAGGAGGGUUAGGAAGAGAGGAGGAGGAGGAUAGGAAGAGAGGUGGAAGAGGAUAGGAAGAGAGGAGGAGGAGGAUAGGAAGAGAGGUGGAAGAGGAUAGGAAGAGAGGAGGAGUAUAGGAGGAGGAGGGUUAGGAAGAGAGGAGGAGGAUAGGAAGAGAGGAGGAGGAGGAUAGGAAGAGGAUA
Molecule: long non-coding RNA, 1283 nt
Organism: Oncorhynchus keta (chum salmon)
Lineage: Eukaryota; Metazoa; Chordata; Actinopteri; Salmoniformes; Salmonidae
Exons: 6
Source: RefSeq, a predicted model, not a curated record